UGAGGAAUAUUGGUCAAUGGGCGAGAGCCUGAACCAGCCAAGUAGCGUGCAGGAUGACGGCCCUAUGGGUUGUAAACUGCUUUUAUGUGGGGAUAAAGUGCGUGACGUGUCAUGCAUUGCAUGUACCAUACGAAUAAGGACCGGCUAAUUCCGUGCCAGCAGCCGCGGUAAUACGGAAGGUCCAGGCGUUAUCCGGAUUUAUUGGGUUUAAAGGGAGCGUAGGCUGUUUGUUAAGCGUGUUGUGAAAUGUAGACGCCCAACGUCUGCAUCGCAGCGCGAACUGGGACGCUUGAGUACGCGCAACGUUGGCGGAAUUCGUCGUGUAGCGGUGAAAUGCUUAGAUAUGACGAGGAACUCCGAUUGCGAAGGCAGCUGACGGGAGCGGCACUGACGCUUAAGCUCGAAGGUGCGGGUAUCAAACAGG
This 424-nucleotide ribosomal RNA is filed under the name Verrucomicrobiota bacterium. RNAcentral describes it as "Verrucomicrobia bacterium partial 16S ribosomal RNA". It matches the Rfam family "Bacterial small subunit ribosomal RNA", at positions 355 to 776 of the family's 1533-position model. Lineage: Bacteria; Pseudomonadati; Verrucomicrobiota. The record is from RNAcentral.